Saccostrea echinata is the source of this 545-nucleotide long non-coding RNA. RefSeq lists it as uncharacterized. The transcript is spliced from 3 exons. Lineage: Eukaryota; Metazoa; Mollusca; Bivalvia; Ostreida; Ostreidae. The record is from RefSeq and is a predicted model, not a curated record.
UGCAAGAAUGUGUUAUUUACAGCUUCAUUUGUUGAAAAUGUAGCAAGAUAGUAUUAAUUAAUUGGAAUACAUUGUUGUGAUGAGCAGACAUCAAGAUGAGAAGGCACACAUGCAUGUAGAGGACAAUCCACUCAAAUUUUCAGAAUAAAGUGUUUGGAGUUUAUCUAGAUGAAACAUACAUGAACAAGUUUCAGGACAUUCUUCUGGAUGGUCUGGGCAGCCCAAAGACUAGUCUAAACCAAAGAUUACCAGGUAGUUUGCCCAGUAAUGAUCACUUGAUGAGCCAGACACAAAGUGUUAGUGAUAUGGAAAGAAAAAUACUCACUUUCUAAUCCAUUCAUAGAUGUUGUUUCUCUCCUCGGCUUCAUGUUUAUUACGUCCAAUACGAGUCAUGACUUCUUUUGUACCAAUUGACAUUCAAACCAUGGAUACCAGCAGCACUGAGCAUUUCUUCUUCAGUCUCAUGAAUAUCUAUAAGAUAAUCUUAAUAAAUAUAGGAUAGGCAACUCAUUUACCGCUUGGAAUAUUUUUCAAAUUAACUUAAA